CCUACGGGAGGCAGCAGUGGGGGAUAUUGCACAAUGGGGGGAACCCUGAUGCAGCGACGCCGCGUGGGUGAAGAAGCGCCUCGGCGCGUAAAGCCCUGUCAGCAGGGAAGAAAAUGACGGUACCUGAAGAAGAAGCCCCGGCUAACUACGUGCCAGCAGCCGCGGUAAUACGUAGGGGGCAAGCGUUAUCCGGAUUUACUGGGUGUAAAGGGAGCGUAGACGGCAGCGCAAGUCUGGAGUGAAAUGCCGGGGCCCAACCCCGGAACUGCUUUGGAAACUGUGCAGCUGGAGUGCAGGAGAGGUAAGCGGAAUUCCUAGUGUAGCGGUGAAAUGCGUAGAUAUUAGGAGGAACACCAGUGGCGAAGGCGGCUUACUGGACUGUAACUGACGUUGAGGCUCGAAAGCGUGGGGAGCGAACAGGAUUAGAUACCCGGGUAGUC
RNAcentral lists this ribosomal RNA (440 nucleotides) under uncultured bacterium. RNAcentral describes it as "partial 16S ribosomal RNA". It matches the Rfam family "Bacterial small subunit ribosomal RNA", at positions 338 to 795 of the family's 1533-position model. The record is from RNAcentral.